Non-coding RNA from Delphinapterus leucas (beluga whale), 220 nucleotides. The record is from RefSeq and is a predicted model, not a curated record. NCBI's taxonomy places the organism in Eukaryota, Metazoa, Chordata, Mammalia, Artiodactyla, Monodontidae.
GAAGGAAGAGGAUGGGAAGAGACACAGAGAGAAGACAGUUAUUUACCAGCACAGGAGGAAGCUCUGAGGCUGGUGCCUGAGUUUGACGUUUACCAUCUCUGAUGAGACCCACUGAAGGCUUUCGGUCAGAAAAACUCUGAUGAUGUUUGCAUCUGAGAAAGACCCCUUGAGAAUUGCAGUGAGCAGGACAGCCUCCAGAACUGGGAGAUGACAGUUGUUG